CAGUCGCCACGGGAAUACGAAGGGGGCUAGCGUUGCUCGGAAUCACUGGGCGUAAAGGGUGCGUAGGCGGGUCUUUAAGUCAGGGGUGAAAUCCUGGAGCUCAACUCCAGAACUGCCUUUGAUACUGAAGAUCUUGAGUUCGGGAGGGGUGAGUGGAACUGCGAGUGUAGAGGUGAAAUUCGUAGAUAUUCGGAGGAACACCAGUGGCGAAGGCGGCUCACUGGUCCAUUACUGACGCUGAGGUGCGAAAGCGUGGGGAGCAAACAGGAUUAGAUACCCCCGUAGUCCCUGUCUCUUAUAC
Molecule: ribosomal RNA, 301 nt
Filed under: uncultured bacterium
Lineage: Bacteria
Description: partial 16S ribosomal RNA
Rfam family: Bacterial small subunit ribosomal RNA
Source: RNAcentral